Molecule: ribosomal RNA, 472 nt
Filed under: uncultured organism
Description: partial 16S ribosomal RNA
Rfam family: Bacterial small subunit ribosomal RNA
Source: RNAcentral
GUACACUCCUACGGGAGGCAGCAGUGAGGAAUAUUGGACAAUGGGUGGAAGCCUGAUCCAGCCAUCCCGCGUGCAGGAAGACGGCCCUAUGGGUUGUAAACUGCUUUUAUCUGGGGAUAAACCUACUUACGUGUAAGUAGCUGAAGGUACCAGAAGAAUAAGCACCGGCUAACUCCGUGCCAGCAGCCGCGGUAAUACGGAGGGUGCAAGCGUUAUCCGGAUUUAUUGGGUUUAAAGGGUCCGUAGGCGGACUGAUAAGUCAGUGGUGAAAUCCGACAGCUUAACUGUCGAACUGCCAUUGAUACUGUUAGUCUUGAGUAAGGUUGAAGUGGCUGGAAUAAGUAGUGUAGCGGUGAAAUGCAUAGAUAUUACUUAGAACACCAAUUGCGAAGGCAGGUCACUAAGUCUUAACUGACGCUGAUGGACGAAAGCGUGGGGAGCGAACAGGAUUAGAAACCCCAGUAGUCCCAUG